RNAcentral lists this long non-coding RNA (748 nucleotides) under Triticum aestivum (bread wheat). RNAcentral describes it as "long non-coding RNA (TAES_LNC021077)". The record is from RNAcentral. Lineage: Eukaryota; Viridiplantae; Streptophyta; Magnoliopsida; Poales; Poaceae.
UUUUUCUUUCUUCUUCUUCAUGGUUUAUUCCCUCAUCGACUUGUUUUGUUUUUUCUUUUCUUAAAUGCGUGAACUUUUUUCAAAUCGAUGACGUUUUUUCUCAAAUUUGUUGAGAGUUUGUUUUCAAAAUCAAUGAACUUUUGUCCCAUUUUUAGUGAACUAUUUUUACUAGCCUUAAAUGUUUUUCCGCGCAAUAAUACAAUUUUUACUGCAUGCACAUUCGUGAGCCGGCCCACCAGAAGCUGCUGUAGGCGCUCCGAGGCGUGAGCGACCUGCGUCCAUUGACACCAAUGAUACAGCCCCACGAGCUACACAGCCCGCGUAUUUGGCGCGGGCAGCCCACGUGCACACAUUAGGUAGCUUUGUAGUACUCCUUUCGUCCGGGUUUAUUAGGCCUAAAAACAAUUUUUUUAGACCAAGACACAUAAUAAUUUGCUCACAUUAAUUAUUCAAUUUCACUCUCAAUGCACUCUCUCACAUGCAUACAGUCAAUAAAAAAACACGCAUGAAGUGUAUUAAUUUCGCAGCCAUGGCACCAACAACAAUGGCUUUAAAUACAACCAAUGAAAUGGUUGCAUGCAUGCACCUUUCCAAAGUAAGGCCUUAUAAAAAAGGACAUGCUUGUGAUGCUAAGAGGCCUAAUAAACCCGGACGGAGGGAGUAGUUCGUAGUACUAUACAUCCCAAGCGCUGGAAGUUGAUUUCCUCAAAAAAAAAGCGCUGGAAGUUGAUACACGCAGCGAGAGUUU